Molecule: ribosomal RNA, 253 nt
Filed under: uncultured bacterium
Lineage: Bacteria
Description: partial 16S ribosomal RNA
Rfam family: Bacterial small subunit ribosomal RNA
Source: RNAcentral
UACAGAGGUCUCAAGCGUUGUUCGGAUUCAUUGGGCGUAAAGGGUGCGUAGGUGGCGCCGUAAGUCGGGUGUGAAAUUUCGGAGCUUAACUCCGAAACUGCAUUCGAUACUGCGGUGCUUGAGGACUGGAGAGGAGACUGGAAUUCAUGGUGUAGCAGUGAAAUGCGUAGAGAUCAUGAGGAAGACCAGUGGCGAAGGCGGGUCUCUGGACAGUUCCUGACACUGAGGCACGAAGGCCAGGGGGGCAAACGGG